Molecule: unclassified non-coding RNA, 465 nt
Filed under: Arabidopsis thaliana (thale cress)
Lineage: Eukaryota; Viridiplantae; Streptophyta; Magnoliopsida; Brassicales; Brassicaceae
Source: RNAcentral
CCUUACUCGGGUUUGAUACCCCUAACUCGCAAUUUUUUUUUUAGUUUUUUCUUCUUCUUCUCCUCCGGGUGUUCGUUGAGAAAUCAAAAUUGGAGAGAAAUCCAGAGUCAAGGGUCGAAGAAGCUUCUCAUGAUUCGGAUCUGCUAUUUGAAAAGGUUGAAAGAGAAGAGCUUCUUUGUAGAAAGAGUUUGGGGAGAGUUCCAAGUUCCAACAUGGGCGGAUUGAGGUGGAGGAGGUGAAAGAAGUGGAGUUACAGAAGGUGGAAGGCAAGAAGGAGGCGUUGGAGGUGGAGAUGAGGUGAUUGGCGGAUCUGUUAAGAACCACCGGCGAAAAUAAGAAAAGGGCCUUACUAGGGAUUCGAACUCGGGUUAAUAGGGUUAAGUGACCUUGCUAAAUACCACUAGGGUACGGUAAUAAAUUUCGUUUAGUGUAGACAAACAAUUAUAUAUAUAUAUAUAUAUAUAU